GGGAUCUAGAGUGUGCGAGAGGUAUGCGGAAUGCGUGGUGUAGCGGUGAAAUGCAUAGAUAUCACGCAGAACCCCGAUUGCGAAGGCAGCAUACCGGUGCACAACUGACGCUCAGGCACGAAAGCGUGGGUAUCGAACAGGAUUAGAUACCCUGGUAGUCCACGCAGUAAACGAUGAAUGCUACCUGUUUGGCCAGAUUGAUGGCUGAGCGGGACAGCGAAAGCGUUAAGCAUUCCACCUGGGGAGUACGCCGGCAACGGUGAAACUCAAAGGAAUUGACGGGGGCCCGCACAAGCGGAGGAACAUGUGGUUUAAUUCGAUGAUACGCGAGGAACCUUACCCGGGCUCAAACGCAUAAUGACGACAGUUGAAAGAUUGUUUCCCUUCGGGGCAUUAUGCGAGGUGCUGCAUGGUUGUCGUCAGCUCGUGCCGUGAGGUGUCGGCUUAAGUGCCAUAACGAGCGCAACCCCUAUCGACAGUUGCUAACGAGUCGAGUCGAGGACUCUGUCGAGACUGCCGGCGCAAGCUGUGAGGAAGGCGGGGAUGACGUCAAAUCAGCACGGCCCUUACGUCCGGGGCGACACACGUGUUACAAUGGCAGGGACAGCGGGAAGCCACCAAGCGAUUGGGCGCGGAACCCGAAACCCUGUCUCAGUUCGGAUUGGAGCCUGCAACUCGACUCCAUGAAGCUGGAUUCGCUAGUAAUCGCGCAUCAGCCAUGGCGCGGUGAAUACGUUCCCGGGCCUUGUACACACCGCCCGUCAAGCCAUGGGAGUCGGGAGUGCCUGAAGUUCGUGACCGUAUAGGAGCGGCCUAGGGUAAAACCGGUGACUGGGGCUAAGUCGUAACAAGGUAACCGUAA
Molecule: ribosomal RNA, 862 nt
Filed under: uncultured bacterium
Lineage: Bacteria
Description: bacterial SSU rRNA
Rfam family: Bacterial small subunit ribosomal RNA
Source: RNAcentral